CUCCACACGGUGGUCCCACGGCUACUUCCCUUCCCCAGCAGCUUGGGCAUUACUCCUGAUGCCCGGGUCUUAAUUUACAUCCUCAUCGAGAAGGAACAGAUGCCCCAGUAUCUCCCUGAGGAAAGAUCAUGUCUUUCUCCCUGAUGUUUUGAAACUUCAUGAUGCUGCGUCUUGGUGUAUUUAGCAGAUGAACCUCCUGAACUGAUACCCUCAUUUUCUCUUUUUCACAAUAAAUAUUUAUGUUGGCCUUCUGUCUACAUUCUGGGAGAUGUGCUCAACUUUCACCUUCCAGUGCAGAACUUGUACCCCCGUGCAAAUAUUCAAAAAGCAGACUUUUCUUCUUGUGAGGGCGAGAAUCUGGGUCGUCUGUGUGGUAACUUUCAAACAAACUCACACCCUUGCCUUCAGAGGUCCCUGCGUCUUCGAGCCAGAGUCCCCAUGUCCCUGUUUCAGCUGAAGCUUCAUCAUCCCCAGAGCUCAGAACCUUUCCUCCCCUCUCUGCCUGCCCUAACCAUUAUCGGCCGCUCGUCAGAGGAUUACGGCGCCUGCUCUCCGGCUGCUGGUGAAGGCUUCUCAGAUCAGGCUCGGGA
Molecule: non-coding RNA, 590 nt
Organism: Vicugna pacos (alpaca)
Lineage: Eukaryota; Metazoa; Chordata; Mammalia; Artiodactyla; Camelidae
Source: RefSeq, a predicted model, not a curated record